Molecule: ribosomal RNA, 911 nt
Filed under: Vamsapriya sp.
Lineage: Eukaryota; Fungi; Ascomycota; Sordariomycetes; Xylariales; Vamsapriyaceae
Description: partial large subunit ribosomal RNA
Rfam family: Eukaryotic large subunit ribosomal RNA
Source: RNAcentral
UAGCAUAUCAAUAAGCGGAGGAAAAGAAACCAACAGGGAUUGCCCUAGUAACGGCGAGUGAAGCGGCAACAGCUCAAAUUUGAAAGCUGGCCUUCGGGUCCGCGUUGUAAUUUGCAGAGGAUGCUUCUGGCGCGGUGCCUUCCGAGUUCCCUGGAACGGGACGCCUUAGAGGGUGAGAGCCCCGUACGGUUGGACACCAAGCCUCUGUGAAGCUCCUUCGACGAGUCGAGUAGUUUGGGAAUGCUGCUCUAAAUGGGAGGUAAAUUUCUUCUAAAGCUAAAUACCGGCCAGAGACCGAUAGCGCACAAGUAGAGUGAUCGAAAGAUGAAAAGCACUUUGAAAAGAGGGUUAAAUAGCACGUGAAAUUGUUGAAAGGGAAGCGUUUGCGAUCAGACUUUGCCCUGCGGAUCAUCCGGCGUACUCGCCGGUGCACUCCGCUGGGCGUCUGCCAGCAUCGGUUUCCGCGGGGGGAUAAAAGCCUGGGGAACGUAGCCUCCUCGGAGGUGUUAUAGCCCCUAGCAUAAUACCCUCGCGGGGACCGAGGUCCGCGCUUCGGCAAGGAUGCUGGCAUAAUGGUCGUCAACGACCCGUCUUGAAACACGGACCAAGGAGUCGAACAUUUGUGCGAGUGUUUGGGUGUCAAACCCUCACGCGUAAUGAAGGUGAACGUAGGUGAGAGCCCUCUGGGCGCAUCAUCGACCGAUCCUGAUGUCUUCGGAUGGAUUUGAGUAAGAGCAUGACUGUUCGGACCCGAAAGAUGGUGAACUAUGCGUGGAUAGGGUGAAGCCAGAGGAAACUCUGGUGGAGGCUCGCAGCGGUUCUGACGUGCAAAUCGAUCGUCAAAUCUGCGCAUGGGGGCGAAAGACUAAUCGAACCAUCUAGUAGCUGGUUACCGCCGAAGUGGUUCCAAC